GCAGGCGCGUAAAUUACCCACUCCCAGUUCGGGGAGGUAGUGACGAAAAAUAACAAUACAGGACUCAUAUCCGAGGCCCUGUAAUUGGAAUGAGUACACUUUAAAUCCUUUAACAAGGACCUAUUGGAGGGCAAGUCUAGUGCCAGCAGCCGCGGUAAUUCUAGCUCCAAUAGCGUAUAUUAAAGUUGUUGCGGUUAAAACGUUCGUAGUUGAAUUUGUGCUUCAUGCAGGUAGUACAUCUAUAAUCGUAGUUUGUACAUUACCUUAUGCAUGCAAGCGUAUUAUCGGUGGAGUUCUAAUAUAUAAUAGUAAAUAUUAUUAUUAUAUAUACCUCCUAUUGAAACCUACUUCAGUGCUCUU
RNAcentral lists this ribosomal RNA (360 nucleotides) under Microdon mandarinus. RNAcentral's name for it is "SSU rRNA". It matches the Rfam family "Eukaryotic small subunit ribosomal RNA", at positions 428 to 778 of the family's 1831-position model. Lineage: Eukaryota; Metazoa; Arthropoda; Insecta; Diptera; Syrphidae. The record is from RNAcentral.